This 378-nucleotide ribosomal RNA is filed under the name uncultured eukaryote. Its description in RNAcentral is "partial 18S ribosomal RNA". It matches the Rfam family "Eukaryotic small subunit ribosomal RNA", at positions 592 to 976 of the family's 1831-position model. The record is from RNAcentral.
CAAUAGCGUAUAUUUAAGUUGUUGCAGUUAAAAAGCUCGUAGUUGGAUUUCGGGUGGGACGCAGCGGUCUCGCAUUGCGUUUGUACUGCUGCAGCCCUCCUUCUUGCCGGGGGCGGCCUCUCGGACUUCACUGUCUGGGGGUCAGAAUCGGCGAUGUUACUUUGAGUAAAUUAGAGUGUUCAAAGCAAGCUUACGCUCUGAAUAUAAUAGCAUGGGAUAACACGACAGGACUCUGGCCUAUCGUGUUGGUCUAUAGGACCAGAGUAAUGAUUAAGAGGGACAGUCGGGGGCAUUCGUAUUCCGUUGUCAGAGGUGAAAUUCUUGGAUUUACGGAAGGCGAACAUCUGCGAAAGCAUUUGCCAAGGAUGUUUUCAUUGA